Vitis riparia (riverbank grape) is the source of this 990-nucleotide long non-coding RNA. RefSeq lists it as uncharacterized. NCBI's taxonomy places the organism in Eukaryota, Viridiplantae, Streptophyta, Magnoliopsida, Vitales, Vitaceae. The transcript is spliced from 2 exons. The record is from RefSeq and is a predicted model, not a curated record.
UGCGAUGAUAUCUGGAAUGGGGUCUCCGAGCCACACAAGUCAAUUGUUAAGAAAGAUUUUUCAUUUUUGUUGUCACCUUCUCAACCUCUAGCAUAAUUGUGAUGGUCCCAGAGAUGGGCUUCAUGCGCAGUUGUUUAUCCAGAAUACAAAUACCCAUCUUGCCACGAGUGGAAUUCUGUCAGAUGCAAUGCACCGAAGUGCCUAAUCAACUUACCCUUUUUGAACGCAAUAUGAUGACAGUCCUCCCACACUCGAAGAGCCACAUAGUCCUUGCUUAUGGAAGCUUCUUCUAGCUUCAUCUUUUCACCCGGCAUGCGCAUUUAUUCAAAUGGACCUUUUUAGCCAGGAAUUAUGGACGCCCUACCUGCUAGCGCAGUGGCAAUCAAGAUAGGUACAGUGGGGCUGAAUACAGCUGAUCCGGUACCAAGUUCAAUGUACAGGAACUCUUUGAAUUGGGGCCUGAUUCAAUUGACUCUUAAGCCAUUUGAUUUGUUGUGAUACUGCAUAUCACUGGACUAUAUAUAUGUAGGGAUAUUCUAGUUCAGGCUUGUUGAAUUUGGUUAAUUAAUUUGAGGAGAUGGAAAUUUUGCUGCUGAUAUUCCAUGUUUGGAGUGUUGUAGCUGCUAUCUGUUUACGCCACAAUUCUGCAGAAGGGGUGAAGCCCUGCAGACUAUGAAGUGUGAAUGAUCCAUUGGGUGUGCCAUGUUAUUUCCUGAGAUCGGAUCAUCAGGUACAUGUUCAGCCCAGUGUGCAAUGUGCAUAUUAAAUGAAUCCCUAUGAUACAGGGACCCGAUUCUUCCUUCUUCAAGUCUACCUUCUCUUCUCAUAGAUAAUGUUGCAAGUAGUAGGUGCAACAUUUAAUGAUCCACUUGCUUUUAUAAUGAUCAUUCUGUCCGUAUGCUGGUUGUAUUCUCUAGCUGAUUUAGAACUUACCUUCUGUGUAAUAUUCGCCUACAAUGAGCUAAAUGUCUAAAGGGGAAUGAUGUGACA